GCCAGCGGCGAAAGCACGUUGAAUACAUCAGUUCUCAAUGGCUCACUGAAGUCAACAUUGCGUGUGGUUGGUAUUGGAAUGGGUGACCAUCUGGGAUCUGGGCAAUCGCGGGCU
RNAcentral lists this ribosomal RNA (114 nucleotides) under Diaphorina citri (Asian citrus psyllid). The record is from RNAcentral. Lineage: Eukaryota; Metazoa; Arthropoda; Insecta; Hemiptera; Psyllidae.